RNAcentral lists this small nuclear RNA (18 nucleotides) under Arabidopsis thaliana (thale cress). RNAcentral's name for it is "snRNA_17374". The record is from RNAcentral. Lineage: Eukaryota; Viridiplantae; Streptophyta; Magnoliopsida; Brassicales; Brassicaceae.
AAAUUGAUGACGUAGAUU